RNAcentral lists this ribosomal RNA (510 nucleotides) under uncultured bacterium. RNAcentral's name for it is "partial 16S ribosomal RNA". It matches the Rfam family "Bacterial small subunit ribosomal RNA", at positions 28 to 507 of the family's 1533-position model. The record is from RNAcentral.
GACGAACGCUGGCGGCGUGCUUAACACAUGCAAGUCGAACGAAGAGCGAUGGAAGCUUGCUUCUAUCACUCUUAGUGGCGAACGGGUGAGUAACGCGUAAUCAACCUGCCCUUCAGAGGGGGACAACAGUUGGAAACGACUGCUAAUACCGCAUACGAUCUAAUCUCGGCAUCGAGGAUAGAUGAAAGGUGGCCUCUACAUGUAAGCUAUCACUGAAGGAGGGGAUUGCGUCUGAUUAGCUAGUUGGAGGGGUAACGGCCCACCAAGGCGAUGAUCAGUAGCCGGUCUGAGAGGAUGAACGGCCACAUUGGGACUGAGACACGGCCCAGACUCCUACGGGAGGCAGCAGUGGGGAAUCUUCCGCAAUGGACGAAAGUCUGACGGAGCAACGCCGCGUGAGUGAUGACGGCCGUCGGGUUGUAAAGCUCUGUUAAUCGGGACGAAAGGCCUUCUUGCGAAUAGUGAGAAGGAUUGACGGUACCGGAAUAGAAAGCCACGGCUAACUACGUG